GGGUCUGGAUUCUGGCUCAGAUUGAACGCUGGCGGGAUGUUCGGCACAUGCAAGUCGAACGGCAGCACGGACUUCGGUCUGGUGGCGAGUGGCGAACGGGUGAGUAAUGUAUCGGAACGUGCCUAGUAGCGGGGGAUAACUACGCUAGGAAAGCGUAGCUAAUGCCGCGACACACGCCCUUCGGGGGAAAGUGGGGACCUUCGGGCCUCGCACCAUUAGAGCGGCCGAUAUCGGAUUAGCUAGGUUGGUGGGGUAACGGCUCACCAAGGCGACGAUCCGUAGCUGGUUUGAGAGGACGACCAGCCACAUCAGACCGAGACACGGCCCAGACUCCUACGGGAAAGGGUGGGGAAUUUUGGACAAUGGGGGAAAUCCCUGAUCCAGCCAUCCCGCGUGUGCGAUGAAGGCCUUCGGGUUGUAAAGCACUUUUGGCAGGAAAAGAAACGGCACGGGAUAAUACCCCGCGUAACCGACGGUACUCUGCAGAAUAAGCACUACAACUACGCCAGCAGCCGCGGUAAUAGCGUAGGGUGCAAGGUGCUACCCGGAAUUACUGGGUGGGGCGUGCGCAGGCGGUUCGGAAAGAAAGAUGUGAAAUCCCAGAGUGAAUUUUGGAACUGCAUUUUUAACUGAGCUAGAGUGUGUCAGAGGGAGGUGGAAUUCCGCGUGUAGCAGAAAUGCGUAGAUAUGCGAGGAACACCGAUGGCGAAGUGGCAGCCUUCCCGGAUAACACUGACGCUCAUGCACGAAAGCGUGGGGAGCAAACAGGAUUAGAUACCCUGGUAGUCCACGCCCUAAACGAUGUCAACUAGCUGUUGGGGCCUUCGGGCCUUGGUAGCGCAGCUAACGUGAAGUUGACCGUUUCGUUGGGAGUACGGUCGCAAGAUUAAAACUCAAAGGAAUUGACGGGACCCGCACAAGCGGUGGAUGAUGUGGAUUAAUUCGAUGCAACGCGAAAAACCUUACCUACCCUUGACAUGUCUGGAAUCCCGAAGAGAUUUGGGAGUGCUCGCAAGAGAACCGGAACACAGGUGCUGCAUGGCUGUCGUCAGCUCGUGUCGUGAGAUGGGGUUGGGUUAAGUCCCGCAACGAGCGCAACCCUUGUCAUUAUUGCUACGAAAGGGCACCUUGCACGAGACUGCCGGUGACAAACCGGAGGAAGGUGGGGAUGACGUCAAGUCCUCAUGGCCCCAGGGUAGGGCUUCACAAUGUCAUACAAUGGUCGGGACAGAGGGUCGCCAACCCGCGAGGGGGAGCCAAUCCCAGAAACCCGAUCGUAGUCCGGAUCGCAGUCUGCAACUCGACUGCGUGGUUGAGACCGCUAGUAAUCGCGGAUCAGCAUGUCGGCAGAUAUCACGUUCCUGGCCUUGUACACACCGCCCGUCACACCAUGGGGAGUGGGUUUUACCAGAAGUAGUUAGCCUAAACCGUAAGGAGGGCGAUUACCACGGUAGGAUUCAUGACUGGGGUGAAGUCGUAACAAGGUAA
Molecule: ribosomal RNA, 1488 nt
Filed under: uncultured Bordetella sp.
Lineage: Bacteria; Pseudomonadati; Pseudomonadota; Betaproteobacteria; Burkholderiales; Alcaligenaceae
Description: partial 16S-23S ribosomal RNA intergenic spacer
Rfam family: Bacterial small subunit ribosomal RNA
Source: RNAcentral